RNAcentral lists this microRNA precursor (80 nucleotides) under Electrophorus electricus (electric eel). Its description in RNAcentral is "microRNA eel-mir-11050 precursor". Lineage: Eukaryota; Metazoa; Chordata; Actinopteri; Gymnotiformes; Gymnotidae. The record is from miRBase by way of RNAcentral.
CAUGAAAUGUGCGAUGAUGACUACUUUCUGCUGAGGUUACAACCAGUGAACCUAAUAGCAUGUAUUACCUGAGCACAUGU